CUGGCUCAGGAUGAACGCUGGCGGCGUGCUUAACACAUGCAAGUCGAACGAAGCACCUGGUCACGAUCCCUUCGGGGUGACGACCUUGUGACUGAGUGGCGGACGGGUGAGUAACGCGUGGGAAACCUGCCAUGUACUGGGGGAUAACAGUUGGAAACGACUGCUAAUACCGCAUAAAACUGUCGGAUCGCAUGAUCUGAUAGCCAAAACUCCGGUGGUACAUGAUGGUCCCGCGUCUGAUUAGGCAGUUGGCGGGGUAACGGCCCACCAAACCGACGAUCAGUAGCCGACCUGAGAGGGUGACCAGCCACAUUGGGACUGAGACACGGCCCAGACUCCUACGGGAGGCAGCAGUGGGGAAUAUUGCACAAUGGAGGAAACUCUGAUGCAGCCGACGCCGCGUGAGCGAUGAAGUAUUUCGGUAUGUAAAGCUCUAUCAGCAGGGAAGAUAAUGACGGUACCUGACUAAGAAGCACCGGCUAAAUACGUGCCAGCCGCCGC
Molecule: ribosomal RNA, 501 nt
Filed under: uncultured bacterium
Lineage: Bacteria
Description: bacterial SSU rRNA
Rfam family: Bacterial small subunit ribosomal RNA
Source: RNAcentral